RNAcentral lists this ribosomal RNA (640 nucleotides) under Phanodermatidae sp. TCR70. RNAcentral's name for it is "partial 28S ribosomal RNA". It matches the Rfam family "Eukaryotic large subunit ribosomal RNA", at positions 395 to 900 of the family's 3401-position model. Lineage: Eukaryota; Metazoa; Nematoda; Enoplea; Enoplida; Phanodermatidae. The record is from RNAcentral.
GGGCGUGAAACCGCUUAGAAGGAAACGGACGGAGCUGAGAAGUCGUCUGUCGUGUUCAAUGUGCGUCAGCAGUUAUGUCGUCGUACAUGCAUUCUCGAUAGAUGAGCGCUGAGACAGGUUCUUUCACCGAUAAGAGCGAAGGUGCGUCGUCCAUGGUUUCGACCAAGGUAACCUCAUCUAGCUCGUUGUCAGGUUGAAAGGACUUACUGACCGCCGUGUCUGGCAAUGUCUCGAAUGAAAGUGUGAUUUUGUGUGCAAAACUAAUUGAUUCUGCUUGCAGAGUCGGUUGCAUUCUCACAGUCUCGUGCUUUUAGAUUCGAGAGACACUAAUGGUCUUCGGCGUCCGUGUCAGCCACCCGUCUGACCCGUCUUGAAACACGGACCAAGGAGUCUAACAUACGUGCGAGUCAUUGAAUUUUAAAUUCAAAGGCGUAAUGAAAGUAAAGGUUAGUUCGGCUAGCCGAGGUGAGAUCCGCGGUGCAGAGCUGUGGCGCAUCACCGUCCCGUCCUACUCGUCAUGUCUUGAGGGCGGAGGUAGAGCAGGUAUGUUGGGACCCGAAAGAUGGUGAACUAUGCUUGAGCAGGAUGAAGCCAGAGGAAACUCUGGUGGAGGUCCGCAGCGGUUCUGACGUGCAAAUCG